GUGUUUACGUAUCGAACGUGUUCAAUUUAUGAUACAGAGUUAUCUCAACGUUGUAGUUUGUUUUUGUAGUUUUGAUAUGUGCAGUUUAAUAUAAACGAGAUAUAAAGCAGAUAAACUUCCGCUAGAGGAACAAGAUCCGGCUAUUCUACAUUGCAGAUUGCCGGCUAUCAUACUAUCGGGCAUGCAACUACUGUGUCCGCCCUAUUCGCUAUACGACUAGUCAGCUGUUGGCAUUGAGAAAUCCCUGCUCUGCAACCGCCGUCCGGUAGCAAUAGAUGACCCUAUUGUGUCAAAUUUCGCAGCAAGGUUCCGUCGCAAUUACAAGUUCAGCAACCGAAACAACUACAUAAGUGCAGAUGAACAACGACACCAAGAUACAGCAAACGAGGAAGAGCCAGAAUGGGUGUCGGCAGGACUUACCUUUCGCCUGGACACAAUUUGUGAAUUCGAUGGAGAUAUUUCAAACAACGCCUCACCAAUCGAUUAGUUGACAUGCUAGCACAAAAUCAAGUCAACAGUAGCAUGAUUACUCAGCAACAAAUUCUAAUGCAAAUUCUCAGUGAAAAUCAACAGAAACAAUGAAAAACAACGUUGAGAAUGCAACUGAUCCACCACAAAUGCAACAACCCAAUCCAUCCCAACGUGAGCUGCAGUUUCGUACCCAAUCCAUAAUUCAGAACGCUUUGCUCCGCAAAAAAACUGCAGGAUCAACGUAAGGCGCUUUGUGAUCAGAACGGUCGAAUUGUUGCCGCUGCCGCUGUGAUUAACAACGGCGAACCAAAUGCAGCUAUGCAGCAAUUCGUACAAUAAAUUUGUCCAAACAUGCGGCGAAGUCUUUUGGUUCAUAGUCACACUGCUAACCGGCCGGUGACAAAUAUCCUAAUGGUACAUAUUUCUCUGCAAAGCCGACUGCAGGAGCCACUACCCUCCGUCACGCAAAAAUUGUGCCAACAGAAACGAGGUGGUCCCAUGAGUGUUAGAACUUCUUAGGAAGCAUCGAAUUCUACAGAUCAAUUCUUACAUGUUACGAUAGAACUGGAUUCUUACAAUGCAUUUACCAGUGCAGAAAUGGUUAUCUCUUGCAACAUUCAAAUUUAAUGUUGUUUUGUACUAUAUAUUACCGUUCCUCAUGAUCAUAUUUCAUAUGUUGUGGAUGUUCUUUGUUUUUGUUCGUGCUCCCUUGGCCGAGUGGUUAGCGUCAUAACUAACAUGCCGGGUGUUCGGGUUCGAUUCCCGUUCUGGUGGGGGGAAUUUUUCGUCAAAGAAAUUUCCUCCGACUUGCACUGUGAUCACGCGUAUUCUAGAGCUUGCCACUCAGAAUGCAUUCAAGGCGUGUUAUUUGGCAUAGAAAUCUCAACUAAGUACUAAUAAAAAUGACGCAAGUAAUACUACGUUGAGACGGCGAAGUUCCUCUAGGAACGUUAGUGUCAUUGAAGAAGAAGAAGAAGGAUGUUCUUUUUCUUUUAUUACUAUUUAUAAUAACGUGCUUCGUUUCAUCAUUGUCAUAUUUUUUUGGGCAAGCGAAAUCUUGAUACAAAUUCUCACUGCCUGAUUUAUGUUUUGAAAAAUUGCAUCGAUUGAUUUGUCGUUAGGUUCUCCCAUCAAGUUUAUUAGUAUAAGACGAUUGUAAAUUAUAGGAACGAAUGUUCGUUCUUUUCUCUUUGUUAUUUUUGUGUCUAACAAUCGCAAUCGCUAAAUAUUUUCUGGAAAAGCCGUUGUUUAACCUCACCACCAGCAAGCGUUAGCAUCUCAUAUAUUGCCUAAAAACUGUCUCAAUUAUUCUCAUGUGAAACUUUUACCCCUAGCUUUGCUCGAGUCUCGUAUCAAGUCAUCUAGAAACAGCGGCAGUCAAAGAGAAGAGCUGCAGCUGGUCGUUCUAAUGUGGUUCCUCUGUCUGUUAGGUCUGCUCAGUGAUGAAAGCCAUGGUGGUGGAGCCAUAAUAGGUUCGCUUGGGGAGCAGGCACCCCGCUGUAGGAUCAGCACGAGCGAAAGAAGAAUUCGAAUAAGGCCAACAUUUCUCCAGAAGGUGAUUUGACACUUGGUAGUGUGAAGUCCGAUGGAAAGAUGUGAACGCUAGGAAAUAUCCAACCUGAUAGCACCAACACUAACAUCCCCCUACGCAUACCGCGUUACACCUGAAUAUUCUAUGUUUCAUAUUCAAAAAGUAAUAAAGUUUUUAGAAAUACGCCGUGCAUGACUAUUCGAAUCAAAAUAACGAGAUGUUGUACGAACUUCACUGUACAUUCACUGGUGUCUCUUUAUUAUCCAACAAACAUGAAAUAAUUCUUCGCGAGGAAUGCUGAAAUUCACGAGCUUAGCUCGAUCUGGUUCUAUUGUCCGUCCAGCUCUCUCUUAAUGAGUAA
Molecule: long non-coding RNA, 2363 nt
Organism: Toxorhynchites rutilus septentrionalis
Lineage: Eukaryota; Metazoa; Arthropoda; Insecta; Diptera; Culicidae
Exons: 4
Source: RefSeq, a predicted model, not a curated record